RNAcentral lists this ribosomal RNA (500 nucleotides) under uncultured Nitrospira sp. RNAcentral describes it as "partial 16S ribosomal RNA". It matches the Rfam family "Bacterial small subunit ribosomal RNA", at positions 338 to 827 of the family's 1533-position model. Lineage: Bacteria; Pseudomonadati; Nitrospirota; Nitrospiria; Nitrospirales; Nitrospiraceae. The record is from RNAcentral.
CCUACGGGAGGCAGCAGUAAGGAAUAUUGCGCAAUGGGCGAAAGCCUGACGCAGCGACGCCGCGUGGGGGAUGAAGGUCUUCGGAUUGUAAACCCCUUUCGGGAGGGAAGAUGGAAUGGGGUAACCCAUUUGGACGGUACCUCCAGAAGCAGCCACGGCUAACUUCGUGCCAGCAGCCGCGGUAAUACGAAGGUGGCAAGCGUUGUUCGGAUUUACUGGGCGUACAGGGAGCGUAGGCGGUUCGGUAAGCCCUUUGUGAAAUCUCCAGGCUUAACCUGGAAAAGUCGGAGGGGACUGCCGGGCUAAAGCACGGGAGAGGGGCGCGGAAUUCCCGUGUAGCGGUGAAAUGCGAAAGUCGGGAGGAAGGGGGGGCGAAGGCCCGCUCUCAACACGCUCCCAUCUGACGUUCUGCGUGAGCUCGAAAGCGUGGGGAGGAAACAGGAAAAAAGUACUCUGCGGCCGGGCUCCCACGGUUAAUACAAAAAAAAAAAGGGGUGGGG